AAGUCGUAACAAGGUAACCGUAGGUGAACCUGCGGUUGGAUCAUUAAUGAAAUGUUUCUAACACCAGGAUGAGUUCUUGACUAGAAGGUUUUACCGCUGACUAGUCAAGACUUGUUCUAACACACCCUUGUGAAUUGUGAUGAAUGAAUCGUUGCUGAUAGUAGAGAGUUUUCUUUUUACUAGAAACAAUGGUUCAACCUUAAACAUACAAAGACCUUUUUUAAAAGGAUAUGAACCAAUGUCUUUGGACUGCGGGAAAUUGACUAGAUAAAAAAAACAACUUUUGACAACGGAUCUCUUGGCUCUC
RNAcentral lists this unclassified non-coding RNA (307 nucleotides) under fungal sp. Its description in RNAcentral is "partial internal transcribed spacer region". The stretch from base 1 to 46 matches the Rfam family "Eukaryotic small subunit ribosomal RNA", at positions 1786 to 1831 of the family's 1831-position model. The record is from RNAcentral. Lineage: Eukaryota; Fungi.